RNAcentral lists this long non-coding RNA (323 nucleotides) under Ananas comosus (pineapple). Its description in RNAcentral is "long non-coding RNA (ACOM_LNC019555)". The record is from RNAcentral. Lineage: Eukaryota; Viridiplantae; Streptophyta; Magnoliopsida; Poales; Bromeliaceae.
GUACUCGGCACUCAGCCAAUAAACCCGCACGCUGGGUACCGGUACUAGCCCGAAGCAAUACCGGUACUCAAUCCCAGUUCCGGUACUCACCAACAGGUACCGGUACUCAACACAAAGAUGCACAAACCCGAGAGCUCCCCUUUCGUGUAAUCUCUCUAGGGUACCGAUACACCUCUCAGGUACGAGUACACAACACUCAAAAUCCUGCUUUUGCAGAUUUCAGUAUUUGAACUUCUACUCUCACAACUCUUAGUCCGUUUUCGCGUCUAUUUCCCGCCAAAACGACUGUUACUCGUUCCGAUGCUCUAUAGAUAUGUUGACAA